Flammula alnicola is the source of this 86-nucleotide non-coding RNA. NCBI's taxonomy places the organism in Eukaryota, Fungi, Basidiomycota, Agaricomycetes, Agaricales, Strophariaceae. The record is from the annotation of a GenBank genome assembly.
GCCGUCGUAGCACAAUGGUAGUGCGUUGCUUUCCUAUCGCCCUAGGUGUCAGGCAGAGGCUGUGGGUUCGAGUCCCACCGUCGGUU